UCUGGUUGGUCCCAAAAGCUGUUGAAUCAACUUGAGAAAAUAUAUUUAAUUCAAAAUCCAUACAUCCUGUUUGAUCAAAUCAUUGCAUUGAUGAUUGAUGCUGAGAAUAAGAACUGAAUCAUGUAAAAUAUGUGGUUGUGAUGAGUAAGUAGUACUUCUGUGCCAGUUGUUCAUCCUCGACAAAUUUGCUCUCGAGAACGAAGCCAUCUCGGUAUACUUGCUCGAUGCUACAACUUUAUACUGUGCUAGUUUUGCUAAGGCAGAGACGGAGAGAAGGAACAUUCGAUCCCAGAUUUGCUCCGAAGCACUAUGCUUCACCACCGGUACGACUGCUCGGUACAGUUGAUCUGCUGACCAAUCAACCUUCUCCCAUGGCGCAUCAUCUAAGGAGGGAAGGGCAUUACGGCUGCUCCAGCAACCCUAUAUAUAUAUAUAUUCGACUGCAUCUCCCUAUUCACAUCACAUUCCUGUGUAUGUUUCCGAGUUGUAAGAAUUCUGUUCUUGAGUAAACUUCUCGAGAAAUAUGAGAUUUGUUUCAUCGUACUGAGCUCAAAACCUGGAGAGUAUGCAUGUUGUUGUGAAUAAGAAGCAAUGUUGUAGCACGUCAAAAGCUCAAUGAAUGAGGCUCAGUUCAUAUCCAGUUAAAAGGAAGAUUAGUAAUCAAUCCGUUGGGGAAGAAGCCAUACUCACCGGUUCAUGCGACCAGAAUGCAGUAAGUGUAUGCAUCAUUAAUAAACUAAUAGAUCUCGAGUCCAGUUCUCAUGGUAAGUUUGUGAUGAUGAAGUGAGAAGCAGUGCUCAACAAGGCAACCCAAAGUAGAUUUACCUGCAAAUGAGCCGUAGGUCUCGGAAAUGGAGAUAAGAUCAAAAGAAGCAUAUAAUAAAUGAUGGGCCACGAGAGCCACAAGGACGUGUUGGUGGACGCCGGCGCCGGUAGGACCAUCGCCCACUGCUUGCCUUCCCGUCCCAUGUUCUCCUUCUCUCUCUGUUUUUAUAGUAUCAGACCAGCAGAAACCCAUAAAUCCAGCUUACAUUUGUUUUGUAUCAAGACAAAGUGGCCUUCUUGAGUGGCUCUUCUUCUCUCUCUCUCUCUCUCUCAGGAUCAAACUAACAGUAGCCCAUAAUUCCAGCUUACAUUUAUUAUUACAGGACAAUUUCCUAAUAGCUGAGAGAAGAUACAGCUGGAUUUUGAGGGACACAGAGAGGUGCAGUGGCUUAUUUAUUGAGCUCCUUUUCCAGGUCCUAUUUUUAUAUAUUUCUGAUUUAUUUACACUGGUUUCUCUAUUUUUUUAAUGGUAGAGCAGUGCGCUGUUGUGAAGCGAAAUCGAGAAGAGAGAGAGAGAGAGAGAGAGAGAGAGAGAGAGGAACGGAGGGAGAAAUGUACGCGAUUUGUAAUAAAGAUCGCUACUUUAUCGUCCUUCCGGGCGUUCCGUUUCCUCAUCACUGUUGCCUCGCUG
Molecule: long non-coding RNA, 1456 nt
Filed under: Musa acuminata (dwarf banana)
Lineage: Eukaryota; Viridiplantae; Streptophyta; Magnoliopsida; Zingiberales; Musaceae
Description: long non-coding RNA (MACU_LNC004797)
Source: RNAcentral